Molecule: ribosomal RNA, 497 nt
Filed under: uncultured bacterium
Lineage: Bacteria
Description: partial 16S ribosomal RNA
Rfam family: Bacterial small subunit ribosomal RNA
Source: RNAcentral
GAUGAACGCUGGCGGCGUGCCUAAUACAUGCCAGUCGAACGAACAGAUAAUAAGCUUUCUCUUUUGCCGUUAGCGACUGACGGGCGAGUAACACGUGCAUCACCUUCUUCUUUUUCUUGGAUAACUUCGUAAGACCGCUGCCAAUACUGCCUAAUAUAUUCAACCGCAUGAUUCAGUAGAUCAUCGCGGCUUUCCCGAUUCUUUUAGCUGGAUUCGCGUCGUAUUAGCUAGUUGGUAAGGUAACGGCUUACCAAGGCUACGAUACGUAGCCGACCUGAGAGGGUGAUCGGCCACACUGGAACUGAGACACGGUCCAGACUCCUACGGGAGGCAGCAGUGGGGAAUAUUGGACAAUGGGCGAAAGCCUGACGGAGCAACGCCGCGUGAGUGAAGAAGGUCUUCGGGUCGUAAAACUCUGUUAUCAGGGAAGAAAAAAAGUGGAAGUAACUGUGCACGUCUUGACGGUACCUAAUCAGAAAGCAACGGCUAACUACGUG